UGAGCGUCGCACGCUUUGCGUAGAUGAGGGAUGGCGCCGGCGCAGGCCUGCGCGCCACGCGCUUUAGGUGGAUGAGGGAUGGCGCAGGUGCAGGCCUGCGCGCCUCACGCUUUAUGUACAUGAGGGAUGAGGCAGCACAGGAAUUGGCACAACCUGAAGUCAGCUCUGCAGCUUUCCAAGCUUCGUUCUGCGUGUCCUGUACUCAACAGUCAUCUCAUGCUGCAGGGUGGCUGCGUGUGCUCCGUACAUCACACCCAUAUUUCAGGGAGAAGACUGCACAUAUAACACAGCUCUGCAUGGAAAACCUUCCGCCUGGAGGGGUGGCUUCCUAGAGCCCACAUCCCCUCUGACAGAUCCCUCCACGGAAAGGCUCCGGCACCUCAACCUCACUCUGGCUGCAUUGGAAACUCUUCUGUCGCUAUCGGCCUUCUCUGAAGAGCUUUAAUCUCUCCUUCCAUGGAGUCUCCUGUGGACUUAAUACACGAAUCCAUACACUUGUACUAAUGGGUAGCAUGGAAUUAAUGUGUGGCUUUCUCCAGAUGUGGAUGUUGAUAUUUCAGUAAAGUCUGAGUUGUUUCUGG
Molecule: long non-coding RNA, 581 nt
Organism: Homo sapiens (human)
Lineage: Eukaryota; Metazoa; Chordata; Mammalia; Primates; Hominidae
Product: long intergenic non-protein coding RNA 200
Source: Ensembl